GUUCACCAAAUAUAGCUGAAAGUGUGAAAAUAACUACGAUCAUGAUGCGCAUUCGUCAAACGACGGACCUCGCACUCGCACUGACGGUCCUGGCCACAAGAAUCUACAGGUCGAGCAAGUCUCGUAAAUUUCACGAUUGCGAGCCACGCUUCACGCAACCGUGUUUGCGUACUUGUGUUUCGAGUUGCGUGGUCGUGCGGAGUUAUAUUUACCAAAUUUAAAUAUAAUCGUUUCUACUUCUACUGAGUUUGAGUAGGUCACAAUUAAAUCAAUAUGGCUACUGGGUGUAAAAGAUAAAUCUUAUUCUAUCUGUUCUUAAUGAGUUUUAGAUAAUUUUAGUUGUAUUUCUUUGUAAUUUUGUGUUGUACAAAGAUUAAUUUAACAUUUUCUCUGGAAGUAUUAAUUUAGAAAGAUAAUAUGCUUCAUUGGUGUUGUGUUUUGAAGUGUGAAAUGCAAAGUAAUUGUGAUAAAGUCAAGAUAAAGUUCACUUUUAAACUGAACUAAAUAAGGUAUCUGAGAGACAACAAUGGUUAAAUGCAAUACAAUGUACAGGUUUUACUAGCGAAAUGAAAUAUUUCCUGUCCUGUCUGCUGUAAUCAUUUUAUAUCUGGAAAACCAGCCGACUUAAUCGAUAAUAACAAUCUCCAGAUUGGGUUCCUUCAAUAAAUAUGGGCUAUUAACACAAUGAAAUAAGUUCCAGAAUAUCUAAAAUGGAGUGGUAUCAAAGGAGAAUUAAAGGAAAAAAUAUUCAUAUUGAAAUUAUUUAUAAGGCACUGGACUGUCUUAAAUUCUACAAUAAUACUAGAAUCAGCUGAGAGAAGUGGUCUACAAAAAACCAGGAAGGAAACGGAAUAUGUGGCUACGAAAAGCAAAAGAAAGGUUUACAAAGCAAAUGUGACACAUUUUUUUGAAAUAUUUAGGAAUAUCAGUAAAUUGCAUUAAAAAAAUGUAUGAAAAGAUUUUGUUCAAUAAAAAUGUUUAUAUUUAUCAAGGAUGUAUUAUUUGGUAUGGCCACAUAUCGUCAGUGAUGUAAUAAUACAUCCUAUCUGUUUUUUCAUGAGUUUUGUAAGAGAGACUAAAAACUUGUCUUAGGGUCACCUCCUGUUUUCAUAUGAUAUUUUUUGACUUGUUUUGUAGUAAAUUAAACUAUCUAUGAACUACAAAACAAGUCAAAACUUACAUAUGAACACAGGAGGUGACCUUAAAACAUGUUUUUCCAUCUCUCAUACAAAACUCAUGAAAAAACAGAUAGGAGGUAUUGUCACAUCAGCAAGGAUGUACAGUGAUGAGUGUCCUAAUAACCGGCAAAAUAUGGGCAACAUAUUUAGUUGUGAGAUAAAAAGAAAUGAAACUAGUCGAGCUGGGAAAUUUAGCGAAAUUAACCUUUAAAUUUACGUUAUAUUGAUCCCACCUUUACACAUAUCGGAGGAGUAUGUCAACUAAAACUGUCACUGUGACAGUGGUAGUUUCCAAACUCGUCUGAAGGUGGUACACAAUCAAUACAAUCUAAAUGUAUAAGUUAAUAUCGCUAAAUUUCCCAGCUCGACUAGUUUCAUUUCUUUUUAUCUCACUACUUAAUACGUUUUCCAUCUUUUGUGCUAUUUUGCAGGUUA
RNAcentral lists this long non-coding RNA (1613 nucleotides) under Diabrotica virgifera virgifera (western corn rootworm). RNAcentral describes it as "uncharacterized LOC126890537". The record is from RNAcentral. Lineage: Eukaryota; Metazoa; Arthropoda; Insecta; Coleoptera; Chrysomelidae.